GGACAUAACAUAAAAGUGGAGGCUAUUGUAACUGAAGAGAACUGGAAAGUUCCACCGUAGAAGGUAAUAGUCCUGUAAGUGAAACGAGAAGACCACGAGUUAUGAUCCAGAGUACCACGAGACACGUGAAACCUUGUGGGAAGCAGGGAGGACCACCUCCCAAGGCUAAAUACUACCUGAUGACCGAUAGUGAAGCAGUACCGUGAGGGAAAGGUGAAAAGAACCCCGGGAGGGGAGUGAAAUAGAACCUGAAACCGUGUGCCUACAACCGCUCAGAGCCCCUUAUGAGGGUGAUGAGGUGCUUUUUGUAGAACGAGCCAACGAGUUACGGUAUGUAGCAAGGUUAAGUACUUAAGGUACGGAGCCGAAGGGAAACCGAGUCUGAAUAGGGCGACUAGUUGCAUGCCGUAGACCCGAAACCGGGUGACCUAUCCAUGGCCAGGUUGAAGCGAGGGUAAAACCUCGUGGAGGACCGAACCACGUUGCUGUUGAAAAAGCAUGGGAUGAGCUGUGGAUAGCGGAGAAAUUCCAAUCGAACCCGGAGAUAGCUGGUUCUCUCCGAAAUAGCUUUAGGGCUAGCGUCGAGUAUGAGUAGUGGAGGUAGAGCACUGAAUGGGCUAGGGGGCAUAGCGCUUACCGAACCUUAUCAAACUCCGAAUGCCACAUACUUUGAGCUCGGCAGUCAGACUACGAAUGAUAAGAUCCGUGGUCAAAAGGGAAACAGCCCAGAUCGUCAGCUAAGGUCCCAAAGUGUAAGUUAAGUGGGAAAGGAUGUGAGAUUUCUAAGACAACUAGGAUGUUGGCUUAGAAGCAGCCAUUCAUUAAAAGAGUGCGUAAUAGCUCACUAGUCGAGAGAUCUUGCGCCGAAAAUGUAACGGGGCUAAACUUACCACCGAAGCUACGGGCUUGAACUUAGUUCAAGCGGUAGGAGAGCGUCGUAACCGGGCUGAAGUCGUACCGUAAGGAGCGGUGGACUGGUUACGAGUGAGAAUGUUGGCAUCAGUAGCGAGAUGUGGGUGAGAAUCCCACAGGCCGAAAACCUAAGGUUUCCUCAGGAAGGUUCGUCCGCUGAGGGUUAGUCGGGACCUAAGCCGAGGCCGAAAGGCGUAGGUGAUGGACAACUGGUUGAUAUUCCAGUACCACUACCAUCGUUAUUAUCGAUGGCGUGACGCAGGAGGAUAGUGUGUGCUAGCUAUUGGAUGCUAGUCUAAGCGUUUAGGCAGUGAGAGUAGGCAAAUCCGCUCUCAUAAUGCUGAGGCGUGAUGGGGAAGGUUCUACGGAACCGAAGUACAUGAUUCCACGCUGCCAAGAAAAGCGUCUAGAGAGAGAAGUAGUGCCCGUACCGCAAACCGACACAGGUAGGUGAGGAGAGAAUCCUAAGGCCGGCGGAAGAAUUACAGUUAAGGAACUCGGCAAAUUGACCCCGUAAGUUCGCGAGAAGGGGUGCCUACGAGAGUAGGCCGCAGAGAAUAGGCCCAAGCAACUGUUUAGCAAAAACACAGGUCUCUGCUAAAGCGUAAGCUGAUGUAUAGGGGCUGACGCCUGCCCGGUGCUGGAAGGUUAAGGGGAACACUUAGCGCAAGCGAAGGUGUGAACUUAAGCCCCAGUAAACGGCGGCCGUAACUAUAACGGUCCUAAGGUAGCGAAAUUCCUUGUCAGGUAAGUUCUGACCCGCACGAAUGGCGUAAUGACUUGGGCACUGUCUCAACUGUAAAUCCGGCGAAGUUGUAGUGCGAGUGAAGAUGCUCGCUACCCGCGAUUGGACGGAAAGACCCCGUAGAGCUUUACUGUAGCUUAGCAUUGAGUUUUGGUAUUGUCUGUACAGGAUAGGUGGGAGACUAGGAAACCAGGGCGUCAGCCUUGGUGGAGUCAACCUUGGGAUACCACCCUGACAGUACUGAAAUUCUAACUGGCGGCCAUGAAUCUGGUCACAGGACAUUGUUAGGUGGGCAGUUUGACUGGGGCGGUCGCCUCCUAAAAAGUAACGGAGGCGCCCAAAGGUUCCCUCAGAACGGUCGGAAAUCGUUCGAAGAGUGCAAAGGCAGAAGGGAGCCUGACUGCGACACCCACAAGUGGAGCAGGGACGAAAGUCGGGCUUAGUGAUCCGGUGGUACCUCGUGGGAGGGCCAUCGCUCAACGGAUAAAAGCUACCUCGGGGAUAACAGGCUGAUCUCCCCCAAGAGUCCACAUCGACGGGGAGGUUUGGCACCUCGAUGUCGGCUCGUCGCAUCCUGGGGCUGAAGUAGGUCCCAAGGGUUGGGCUGUUCGCCCAUUAAAGCGGCACGCGAGCUGGGUUCAGAACGUCGUGAGACAGUUCGGUCCCUAUCCGUCGCGGGCGUAGGAAAUUUGAGAGGAGCUGUCCUUAGUACGAGAGGACCGGGAUGGACUGACCUCUGGUGUACCAGUUGUUCCGCCAGGAGCACAGCUGGGUAGCUAAGUCGGGAAUGGAUAAACGCUGAAAGCAUCUAAGCGUGAAGCCAACCUCAAGAUGAGAUUUCCCAUAGCGUAAGCUAGUAAGAUCCCUUGAAGAACACAAGGUUGAUAGGUCGGGGGUGUAAGCAUGGUAACAUGUUCAGCUGACCGAUACUAAUAGAUCG
RNAcentral lists this ribosomal RNA (2597 nucleotides) under Clostridium perfringens. Its description in RNAcentral is "partial 23S ribosomal RNA". It matches the Rfam family "Bacterial large subunit ribosomal RNA", at positions 303 to 2911 of the family's 2925-position model. The record is from RNAcentral. Lineage: Bacteria; Bacillati; Bacillota; Clostridia; Eubacteriales; Clostridiaceae.